UCACCUAUGUGCACACAUAUGGAGGCCGU
This 29-nucleotide non-coding RNA is filed under the name Rattus norvegicus (Norway rat). The record is from RNAcentral. Lineage: Eukaryota; Metazoa; Chordata; Mammalia; Rodentia; Muridae.